UGAGGAAUAUUGGUCAAUGGGAGAGAUCCUGAACCAGCCAAGCCGCGUGAGGGAAGACGGCCCUAUGGGUUGUAACCUCUUUUGUCGGAGAACAAAACCCGGGACGUGUCCCGGACUGCGUGUAUCCGAAGAAAAAGCAUCGGCUAACUCCGUGCC
RNAcentral lists this ribosomal RNA (156 nucleotides) under uncultured bacterium. RNAcentral's name for it is "partial 16S ribosomal RNA". It matches the Rfam family "Bacterial small subunit ribosomal RNA", at positions 355 to 509 of the family's 1533-position model. The record is from RNAcentral.